Long non-coding RNA from Melanotaenia boesemani (Boeseman's rainbowfish), 159 nucleotides. RefSeq lists it as uncharacterized. NCBI's taxonomy places the organism in Eukaryota, Metazoa, Chordata, Actinopteri, Atheriniformes, Melanotaeniidae. The transcript is spliced from 3 exons. The record is from RefSeq and is a predicted model, not a curated record.
UGGUGGUCUGUGACUGUUUCUGUGGGUUCAGCAGUUCUCUUAAUAACAGCUGUGGUGAUCAUUAUAUGGAAGAAAACUAAAGGAAAUAAAAAGAAGGAAGGAAACACUGCUGGUCCUGAAGAUGCUGUUGUCUAUGCGACUGUCAGCCACACCAAGAAG